ACCUAGACCCGACAAAAACGGAAAGCCCGGAGGUUGAGGAACGAAGCCGAGGACUUGAAGUGAUGGCGGGAUUAUUG
RNAcentral lists this non-coding RNA (77 nucleotides) under Pedobacter suwonensis. Lineage: Bacteria; Pseudomonadati; Bacteroidota; Sphingobacteriia; Sphingobacteriales; Sphingobacteriaceae. The record is from RNAcentral.